This 424-nucleotide unclassified non-coding RNA is filed under the name Hevea brasiliensis (rubber tree). Lineage: Eukaryota; Viridiplantae; Streptophyta; Magnoliopsida; Malpighiales; Euphorbiaceae. The record is from RNAcentral.
AUCCAGAUAACAUGACUUAUGAGGUUUGCUUUCUGUAACUUAUCCUGUUCUCGUCGUUGCAUUUUAUUUUAAUAGGGUUCGAUAUUAUCGUCGUGAUGAUGUAAAAUGUGGGGUUAAGUGCAAUCCAGUAUGGAAGAGCUGGUAUUGCCAGUUGUUUCUUUCAACUUGCUAAACAAUUAUUUUGUCAGAUUUUUUAUGAGUAGUCAAAAAAGAUAAUUCUUGUGAACUAUCAUUUAUGACCUAGACUAAGCAUUUGCAAAACAAUGGAUUUUUACCGUCUUCUUUUGCUUUGAAGUUAUGAUUAGCGUCAUGCUUUUUCACGAGUAUUAGUUAACACUGUUUUCCAUGUAAAGAAAUAUAUUGGUGAAUACUAAUUAUGAAGGGGCAUUUGCUUGGCUAGUUGGCUUUUAGAGUUGCACAAACA